GGGGGACCGGCAAGGCCUCACGCAGAUAGAUGAGCCGAUGUCGGAUUAGCUAGUUGGCGGGGUAAUGGCCCACCAAGGCGACGAUCCGUAGCUGGUCUGAGAGGAUGAUCAGCCACACUGGAACUGAGACACGGUCCAGACUCCUACGGGAGGCAGCAGUGGGGAAUAUUGGACAAUGGGCGCAAGCCUGAUCCAGCCAUGCCGCGUGGGUGAAGAAGGCCUUCGGGUUGUAAAGCCCUUUUGUCCGGAAAGAAAAGCAUUCGGUUAAUAACCGGGUGUCAUGACGGUACCGGAAGAAUAAGCACCGGCUAACUUCGUGC
RNAcentral lists this ribosomal RNA (320 nucleotides) under uncultured Faecalibacterium sp. RNAcentral describes it as "bacterial SSU rRNA". It matches the Rfam family "Bacterial small subunit ribosomal RNA", at positions 192 to 508 of the family's 1533-position model. Lineage: Bacteria; Bacillati; Bacillota; Clostridia; Eubacteriales; Oscillospiraceae. The record is from RNAcentral.